GAGCGGUAGGGAUCUUUCGGGAUCCUGAGAUCGGCGUACGGGUGCGGAACACGUGUGCAACCUGCCUUUAUCUGGGGGAUAGCCUUUCGAAAGGAAGAUUAAUACCCCAUAAUAUAUUAAGUGGCAUCGGUUGAUAUUGAAAACUCCGGUGGAUAGAGAUGGGCACGCGCAAGAUUAGAUAGUUGGUGAGGUAACGGCUCACCAAGUCGAUGAUCUUUAGGGGGCCUGAGAGGGUGAUCCCCCACACUGGUACUGAGACACGGACCAGACUCCUACGGGAGGCAGCAGUGAGGAAUAUUGGACAAUGGGUUAGCGCCUGAUCCAGCCAUCCCGCGUGAAGGACGACGGCCCUAUGGGUUGUAAACUUCUUUUGUACAGGGAUAAACCUACUCUCGUGAGAGUAGCUGAAGGUACUGUACGAAUAAGCACCGGCUAACUCCGUGCCAGCAGCCGCGGUAAUACGGAGGGUGCAAGCGUUAUCCGGAUUUAUUGGGUUUAAAGGGUCCGUAGGCGGAUCUGUAAGUCAGUGGUGAAAUCUCACAGCUUAACUGUGAAACUGCCAUUGAUACUGCAGGUAUUGAGUAAGGUAGAAGUGGCUUGGAAUAAGUAGUGUAGCGGC
This 619-nucleotide ribosomal RNA is filed under the name uncultured Chryseobacterium sp. Its description in RNAcentral is "bacterial SSU rRNA". It matches the Rfam family "Bacterial small subunit ribosomal RNA", at positions 64 to 682 of the family's 1533-position model. The record is from RNAcentral. Lineage: Bacteria; Pseudomonadati; Bacteroidota; Flavobacteriia; Flavobacteriales; Weeksellaceae.